RNAcentral lists this long non-coding RNA (2981 nucleotides) under Ananas comosus (pineapple). RNAcentral describes it as "long non-coding RNA (ACOM_LNC038794)". The record is from RNAcentral. Lineage: Eukaryota; Viridiplantae; Streptophyta; Magnoliopsida; Poales; Bromeliaceae.
AGAGAGAGAGAGAGAGAGAGAGAGAGAGAGAGAGUAGAGCUACUAUACUCUUAUGAGUAUAGAGCUCUAUGUACUCAUAAGUUGUUAAGUUGUUUUUGAUGUUGGGCUUUUCGAAUCGACGAUCCACACUUAAAUAUGAUCUAGAGUAUUUGAAACUUCUAGAAAAUAAAUUUCGUAAUUUUUCUAAAUCAUUAUAAAGUCCAUCAAGCGGGUAUAAAAUAAACGGUUAAAAUCGAAUGACAUCCUAAAAAUGAAUGAUCGGAUCCUUCAAUUUAAGAUCGGAGUUAUUGAUCUUUAUUUAGGUAGUGAAUAGAAUUUUCUAUCAAAAAUUCAACCUAUUCCGAUUCUUUUUCACCGUUAAACUAGCAAAUAUCUCACACCGGCCGUUAAAAAUUGUCAAUUUUGUGAGCUUUUGAUCGUAAGGUAAAUAAUUUUGAAAAAUUAUAAAAUUUGAUUUCUAGAAGUUUUAAAUGUUCUAGAUAAUGUUUAACGGUAUGGAUCGGUGAUUCGGAAGCUCUGUUAUCGAAAACAACUUAUGAGUACGAAGGCGAUCGUACUUAAAAGAGUAUAGUAGCCGACUCUAUAUAUAUAUAUAUAUAGAGAGAGAGAGAGAGAGAGAGAGAGAGAGAGUUGAGCUAGAAUACUCUCAAAAGCAUCAAGGGGUGGUGCUUUUGAGUUUUUAACCAUUGGAUGGAGAGAUAUAAGGUUGAGAUGAUGGUGGUAGGUGGUGGUAAGCGGAAUAGUAUUUAAUCCAAGGGGUAUUAGUAAUUAAGGAGUAGAUCCAAGAACUAGAAACUUAGAAGCACCAAAGGGUUGAUGCUUCUAAAGUAUUCUAGCUCAAUUAUAUAUAUAUAUAUAUAUAUAUAUAGAGUUGAGCUAGAAUACUCUCAAAAGCACCAUGGGGGUGGUGCUUUUGAGUUUUUAAGCCAUUGGAUGGAGAUAUGUGAGGUUGAGAUGAUGAUGGUAGGUGGUGGUAGGUGGUGGUAGGUGGAAUAGUAUUUGAUCUAAGGGCUAUUAGCAAUCAAGAAGUAGAUCCAAUGACUAAAAACCUAAUAGCACCAUGGGGGUGAUACUUGUAAAAGUAUUCUAGCUCAAUUCUAUAUAUAUAUAUUAUAUUACUAUUAUUUAUAUAUAGAUUGAGCUAGCAAUACUUUUACAAGUAUCCAUGGGGUGUGCUUUAGUGUUUUUAGCCCUUCAGAUGGAGAGAUGUGAGGUUGAGAUUGAUGGUGGUAGCGUGGUGGUAGGUGGAAUAGUAUUUGAUCCAAGGACUAUUAGUAAUCAAAGAAGUAGAUCAAUAUCUAAAAACUAUAGCACCAUGGGGCGAUACUUAUAAAAGUAUCCUAGCUCAACUCUAUAUAUAUAUAUAUAUAUAUAUAUAUAUAUAUAUAUAUAUAUAUAUAUAUAUAUUAUAUAUAUAUAUAUAUAUAGUCCGGCUACUACUAUACUCUUAUGAGUAUAGAGCCUUCUUUACUCAUAAAUUUUUGGCCGUUAAAUCUACCUUUAAUCAUUUUCACCCGUUAGAUUAUACUAUUUAACAACCGCCUACUCAACCAUAGAGGCCACUAUCAAUACUAACGUACCACUCUAUACUAACCGUAUAUUUUUCAUCUGACGGCCGAAACUUAAGAGUAUAAAGGCGUAUAUACUCAUAUGAGUAUAGUAUCCUAGUGUGUGUAUAGAUAUAUAUAUAUAUAGUAUAUUAUGAUAUAUAUAGAUUAUGCUACUUUACUAUCAAUAGUACGGCCUUGGUACUAUUGAGUUUCGGCGUUGGAUGAAAAGAUAUGCGGUUGAGGAUAAUAGUGGUCUCCAGGUUAAAUUGAUAAUGGUCCUAGGGUUGAGUGGUGGUUGGUUUAAUGUAUAAUCAAAGGUGGAAAGUGAUCAAAGGGUUUAAGAUCUUACGUAGAAAACUAAUAGUACCAAUGGCUUCGUUACUAUUGAUAGUAUAGAUAGUUAGCGGACUCUAUAUUAUAUAUAUAUUAUAUAUAUUAUUAUAUUAUAUAUAUAUUAUAUAUUAUAUAUAUAUAUAUAUUAUAUAAUAAUAUAUAUAUUAUAUAUUAGGCUAGGGCUACUAUAAUCUUAUGAGUAUAAGCCCUUUUGUACUCAUUAAGUUUCGACCAUUAGAUGAAGAGAUGUGCAGUUAAGUGAGUAGUGUGUCCCGGUUAAGUAAUAGUGGUCCUAGAAUUGAGUGGGUUGAUUGGUUAAAUAGUAUGAUCUAACGGGUGGAAAUGAUGAAAGAAAUAGAUCUAAUGGCAAAAUCUUAUGAGUACAAAAGGGACUAUACUCAUAGAACAUAGUGCGAAAUAUAUAUAUAUAUAUAUUAUAUAUAUAUAUUUAAUAUAUAUAUAUAUAUUAUAUAUUAUAGAGAGAGAGAAGAGAGAGAGAGCAGAGAGAGAGAGAGAGAGAGAGAGGAGAGAGAGAGCAGGGUGCUGUGCUCUCAGAAGCACGGAGGCCUCCGUGCUCUGAGUAGUUUUCGAUGAUGAAAUUUUCGAAUCGACGUCAGCUCCGUUAGACUUGAUCUAGCGCAUUUGAAGUUUCUAGAAAAUAAUUUUUUUGCCGAUUUUUUUAUAUCAUUUACGAGUGAUCGAAAGGAUUCAAAUCCAUAAUUUUAAUGGUUGAUAUCUACCGUUUUUCAAUUUAACGGGUGUAGAACUUUCAAAAUAGUAUGAAAUUUUGAUGCAAAAUUUUUUAUACUACUCUACAACAAGAUCAAUAUUUCUGAUCGAAAAUUUUAGUGCUAUAUCACCACUUUUUAUAGAAUUUUUAUUUUCAGCCGUUAAAACUUAUUGAUUUUGAAUCCUUUCGAUUACUAGAUAAAUGAUAUCGAAAUGUCACAAAAAUUAUUUUAUAAAAACUUUAAAUAUGCUAAAUCAAGUUUAACGGAGCCGAUCGUCGAUUCGGAAACUCCAUCAUCGAAAACGGCUCAGUGUAUAUAGGCCUCCGUGCUCCUGAGAGCACAACAGCCCUACUCUCUCUCUCUCUCU